AGCAGCUUGACUGGGUGCAAGUACCCUGACAUAGUCUGCCGUGAAGAUCCGCGAUCUGCCGCCGCCGCCGAGUUCCGGGAACGGAAAAGGAUCCGUCUCCUGCCGUCCCUCCGCCUGCUAGGUGGUCGAGCAUUCUGGGACACUGGAGCUAGCUGGUUUGCGUCUCGGAGAAGCACCUGCAAUGGCUGGAACUGCAAUUGGGCAGCUGGUAAGCUUAUUUACGGAUAAGCUUAUUGACCUGUAUAACAUUCUGAUGGUCCAG
This is a long non-coding RNA of Phragmites australis (common reed), 262 nucleotides long. RefSeq lists it as uncharacterized. Lineage: Eukaryota; Viridiplantae; Streptophyta; Magnoliopsida; Poales; Poaceae. The transcript has 2 exons. The record is from RefSeq and is a predicted model, not a curated record.